This 253-nucleotide ribosomal RNA is filed under the name uncultured bacterium. RNAcentral's name for it is "partial 16S ribosomal RNA". It matches the Rfam family "Bacterial small subunit ribosomal RNA", at positions 524 to 776 of the family's 1533-position model. The record is from RNAcentral.
UACAGAGGGGGCAAGCGUUGUUCGGAAUUACUGGGCGUAAAGGGCGCGUAGGCGGCCUUCUAAGUCGAACGUGAAAUCCCUGGGCUCAACCCAGGAACUGCGUCCGAUACUGGAAGGCUUGAAUCCGGGAGAGGGAUGCGGAAUUCCAGGUGUAGCGGUGAAAUGCGUAGAUAUCUGGAGGAACACCGGUUGCGAAGGCGGCAUCCUGGACCGGUAUUGACGCUGAGGCGCGAAAGCCAGGGGAGCAAACGGG